This is a non-coding RNA of Octopus bimaculoides (California two-spot octopus), 75 nucleotides long. NCBI's taxonomy places the organism in Eukaryota, Metazoa, Mollusca, Cephalopoda, Octopoda, Octopodidae. The record is from Rfam.
GGCGGUUUAGCUUAAUGGUUCAGAGCACCUCGACGCGUAAUCAUGGAGGUGUGAGUUCGAGUCUCAUAGCCAGCC